ACUCCCCAGUCUUGCUACUCAUACUUAACUGUUAGUAUUUGCAUAAAUUAAUGAACGUAAAAAUUUCAGAUGAAACUGAAUACCUCCUUUAUUUUAAUCUCUGCCCAAUCCCAUUCACUUCACUUCUUCCCCAGAGGCAAAUGCAAUCGUGAUUUUCAGGCUGUGUUUCUAUACUUUUACUAUGCACAUACACUCACAUUCACCAGGAUCCUACCUCACUCCACCCCACCCUAGUCUACUCCCUUAUAUCCAUAUUAUUUAUAGGGUGAAGAUUGAUUUUGUGUUUGCCAGGAUUGCACGGAACACCCCUGCAUCUGUGGAGAUCCUUAGCUGAAUGUUGGUGCAUAGUCUCUAGGAUACCUGUUUUAAAACUUGAAAAUGAAAGAUUUGCACACACGUAUUAUUCAGAGACCUUUAUUUAUGAACCAGUAACUUUAUUUGGAAGAAAUAGUAAAACUGGAAGAAAAAAAACUUAAGUGAACUUUUUUUUUUUUAUAAGGGCAAUAUAUUGCGAUUUGAAUGCUAGGCAUGGUGACCAGGAAGUCACCAUGUGGUUAUGGAGAAGUCCAGUCCAGGCUCAGUUCUUGUCGGUGUCGCCUAGGGUGAGCUAGUCAAAGAAGUACUCAGCCACACUGUCUUCUGGGGCCCACAUCUUGCGCAUAUUGGUGAGAUGGCACCCCAGCUCUUUGAUAAACUUGACCUGCUCAUGCCAGUAGUUAAGCUCCAGGAAUUCACACAGAUGGGCGUCGCUCUUGUCAGUCGCCAGCUGGUGCAGAUCUAGCACGCUCUGGUUCACGCCCUUCUCCAGGUGCAAGCCGCACUGCGUGGCCUUGAAGCCACUCUACCAGGCUGCUGUCGAUCUUCCUAAUGUCUGAGAAGCAGAGGCGGCUCCCGUGCCUGUUCUGCAGGCGCGUCAGUUCCUGGGCGCCUUUGGUCCACUCAUGGGAGCGGCAUAAGAAGUGGGCCAAAUACUUCAAGGCCAAGUUGUGCCGGUUGAAGUAGAAGGCCACGACCAGGCCUACUUGCUAUCCUCAACCCUGCUCUGUGAUUCCACUCUAUCGGGUUCAUCAACCAAUCUUUCUGUGUCAUCAAGUUUGGUUUGGCUAAUGUGAACUACUGACAAGAGAUUGGAUGUCAGGAAAGAAAG
Molecule: non-coding RNA, 1147 nt
Organism: Sus scrofa (pig)
Lineage: Eukaryota; Metazoa; Chordata; Mammalia; Artiodactyla; Suidae
Source: RefSeq, a predicted model, not a curated record